AAUCUUCCGCAAUGGGCGAAAGCCUGACGGAGCAACGCCGCGUGGGUGAAGACGGCCUUCGGGUUGUAAAACCCUGUCUUAUGGGAAGAAGAAAGUGACGGUACCAUAGGAGGAAGCCACGGCUAACUACGUGCCAGCAGCCGCGGUAAUACGUAGGUGGCAAGCGUUGUCCGGAAUCACUGGGCGUAAAGGGCGCGUAGGCGGUUAUUUAAGUCGGAUGUGUAAUCUUUGGGCUCAACCCAAAGUUUGCAUUCGAUACUGGGUAACUUGAGUGCAGGAGAGGGCAGUGGAAUUCCUAGUGUAGCGGUGAAAUGCGUAGAUAUUAGGAGGAACACCAGUGGCGAAGGCGGCUGCCUGGACUGUAACUGACGCUGAGGCGCGAAAGCGUGGGGAGCAAAC
Molecule: ribosomal RNA, 399 nt
Filed under: uncultured bacterium
Lineage: Bacteria
Description: partial 16S ribosomal RNA
Rfam family: Bacterial small subunit ribosomal RNA
Source: RNAcentral